Molecule: non-coding RNA, 502 nt
Organism: Cinara cedri
Lineage: Eukaryota; Metazoa; Arthropoda; Insecta; Hemiptera; Aphididae
Source: the annotation of a GenBank genome assembly
GGUCCAUCAUGAGAUAUAUUUAUGGCACUAAACACAAAAUAUUAAAAAUCCCCAGUGAAAUUUUUUUUAUAAGCGUCUAUAGUUGUAAUUUAAAAUGAGACCGUAUAAAUCACGGUAUUUCAAAAUAUGUUUUUCCAGAAUUCACUCAGAUCCUCGGAAUCGUUUUUCAUGAGCAAUGGUAUUUUGUUUUAUAUAGGUCUAUAUUUAAUUAUUUUGGAUAUUUUAAAGUUUUUUUAUUCGCGUUUAAAAAAAAAAAAAAAUGAUAUAACUAUUCUAUAAACAAUAAUACGUAAUAUUAUAGUUUCAAUUGUUGAUGCAUUUAAAACUGUGUAAUUGUGUAUAGUUCCCUAGUUUUUCUUAAUUUUAUAAUUUGAACUCUGUAGGUUUUAGUCUUGACAGAGUGUUGUAUAUUUAUGAUAACAACUGAUGAUCAUGUUAUUAUAUUAUACAUUUAUAGUUUAUACCUAUCACCUAUUUCACUUAACCGUAUUUGCUGUCAUAU